UUAAGUUAUUAAGGGCGCACGGUGGAUGCCUUGGCACUAGAAGCCGAUGAAGGACGUUACUAACGACGAUAUGUUUUGGGGAGCUGUAAGUAAGCUUUGAUCCAGAGAUUUCCGAAUGGGGAAACCCAGCAUGAGUUAUGUCAUGUUAUCGAUAUGUGAAUACAUAGCAUAUCAGAAGGCACACCCGGAGAACUGAAACAUCUUAGUACCCGGAGGAAGAGAAAGAAAAUUCGAUUCCCUUAGUAGCGGCGAGCGAAACGGGAAGAGCCCAAACCAACAAGCUUGCUUGUUGGGGUUGUAGGACACUCUAUACGGAGUUACAAAGGACGACAUUAGACGAAUCAUCUGGAAAGAUGAAUCAAAGAAGGUAAUAAUCCUGUAGUCGAAAAUGUUGUCUCUCUUGAGUGGAUCCUGAGUACGACGGAGCACGUGAAAUUCCGUCGGAAUCUGGGAGGACCAUCUCCUAAGGCUAAAUACUCUCUAGUGACCGAUAGUGAACCAGUACCGUGAGGGAAAGGUGAAAAGCACCCCGGAAGGGGAGUGAAAUAGAACCUGAAACCGUGUGCUUACAAGUAGUCAGAGCCCGUUAAUGGGUGAUGGCGUGCCUUUUGUAGAAUGAACCGGCGAGUUACGAUUUGAUGCAAGGUUAAGCAGUAAAUGUGGAGCCGUAGCGAAAGCGAGUCUGAAUAGGGCGUUUAGUAUUUGGUCGUAGACCCGAAACCAGGUGAUCUACCCUUGGUCAGGUUGAAGUUCAGGUAACACUGAAUGGAGGACCGAACCGACUUACGUUGAAAAGUGAGCGGAUGAACUGAGGGUAGCGGAGAAAUUCCAAUCGAACCUGGAGAUAGCUGGUUCUCUCCGAAAUAGCUUUAGGGCUAGCCUCAAGUGAUGAUUAUUGGAGGUAGAGCACUGUUUGGACGAGGGGCCCCUCUCGGGUUACCGAAUUCAGACAAACUCCGAAUGCCAAUUAAUUUAACUUGGGAGUCAGAACAUGGGUGAUAAGGUCCGUGUUCGAAAGGGAAACAGCCCAGACCACCAGCUAAGGUCCCAAAAUAUAUGUUAAGUGGAAAAGGAUGUGGCGUUGCCCAGACAACUAGGAUGUUGGCUUAGAAGCAGCCAUCAUUUAAAGAGUGCGUAAUAGCUCACUAGUCGAGUGACACUGCGCCGAAAAUGUACCGGGGCUAAACAUAUUACCGAAGCUGUGGAUUGUCCUUUGGACAAUGGUAGGAGAGCGUUCUAAGGGCGUUGAAGCAUGAUCGUAAGGACAUGUGGAGCGCUUAGAAGUGAGAAUGCCGGUGUGAGUAGCGAAAGACGGGUGAGAAUCCCGUCCACCGAUUGACUAAGGUUUCCAGAGGAAGGCUCGUCCGCUCUGGGUUAGUCGGGUCCUAAGCUGAGGCCGACAGGCGUAGGCGAUGGAUAACAGGUUGAUAUUCCUGUACCACCUAUAAUCGUUUUAAUCGAUGGGGGGACGCAGUAGGAUAGGCGAAGCGUGCGAUUGGAUUGCACGUCUAAGCAGUAAGGCUGAGUAUUAGGCAAAUCCGGUACUCGUUAAGGCUGAGCUGUGAUGGGGAGAAGACAUUGUGUCUUCGAGUCGUUGAUUUCACACUGCCGAGAAAAGCCUCUAGAUAGAAAAUAGGUGCCCGUACCGCAAACCGACACAGGUAGUCAAGAUGAGAAUUCUAAGGUGAGCGAGCGAACUCUCGUUAAGGAACUCGGCAAAAUGACCCCGUAACUUCGGGAGAAGGGGUGCUCUUUAGGGUUAACGCCCAGAAGAGCCGCAGUGAAUAGGCCCAAGCGACUGUUUAUCAAAAACACAGGUCUCUGCUAAACCGUAAGGUGAUGUAUAGGGGCUGACGCCUGCCCGGUGCUGGAAGGUUAAGAGGAGUGGUUAGCUUCUGCGAAGCUACGAAUCGAAGCCCCAGUAAACGGCGGCCGUAACUAUAACGGUCCUAAGGUAGCGAAAUUCCUUGUCGGGUAAGUUCCGACCCGCACGAAAGGCGUAACGAUUUGGGCACUGUCUCAACGAGAGACUCGGUGAAAUCAUAGUACCUGUGAAGAUGCAGGUUACCCGCGACAGGACGGAAAGACCCCGUGGAGCUUUACUGUAGCCUGAUAUUGAAAUUCGGCACAGCUUGUACAGGAUAGGUAGGAGCCUUUGAAACGUGAGCGCUAGCUUACGUGGAGGCGCUGGUGGGAUACUACCCUAGCUGUGUUGGCUUUCUAACCCGCACCACUUAUCGUGGUGGGAGACAGUGUCAGGCGGGCAGUUUGACUGGGGCGGUCGCCUCCUAAAAGGUAACGGAGGCGCUCAAAGGUUCCCUCAGAAUGGUUGGAAAUCAUUCAUAGAGUGUAAAGGCAUAAGGGAGCUUGACUGCGAGACCUACAAGUCGAGCAGGGUCGAAAGACGGACUUAGUGAUCCGGUGGUUCCGCAUGGAAGGGCCAUCGCUCAACGGAUAAAAGCUACCCCGGGGAUAACAGGCUUAUCUCCCCCAAGAGUUCACAUCGACGGGGAGGUUUGGCACCUCGAUGUCGGCUCAUCGCAUCCUGGGGCUGUAGUCGGUCCCAAGGGUUGGGCUGUUCGCCCAUUAAAGCGGUACGCGAGCUGGGUUCAGAACGUCGUGAGACAGUUCGGUCCCUAUCCGUCGUGGGCGUAGGAAAUUUGAGAGGAGCUGUCCUUAGUACGAGAGGACCGGGAUGGACAUACCUCUGGUGUACCAGUUGUCGUGCCAACGGCAUAGCUGGGUAGCUAUGUGUGGACGGGAUAAGUGCUGAAAGCAUCUAAGCAUGAAGCCCCCCUCAAGAUGAGAUUUCCCAACUUCGGUUAUAAGAUCCCUCAAAGAUGAUGAGGUUAAUAGGUUCGAGGUGGAAGCAUGGUGACAUGUGGAGCUGACGAAUACUAAUCGAUCGAAGACUUAAUCAA
RNAcentral lists this ribosomal RNA (2921 nucleotides) under Staphylococcus aureus MISS6110. RNAcentral's name for it is "bacterial LSU rRNA". It matches the Rfam family "Bacterial large subunit ribosomal RNA". The record is from RNAcentral. Lineage: Bacteria; Bacillati; Bacillota; Bacilli; Caryophanales; Staphylococcaceae.